GAUCAUGGCUCAGGAUAAACGCUGGCGGCGCACAUAAGACAUGCAAGUCGAACGGAAGUCGUUGUAAUGAAAUAGAAACGGACAGAGAACUUGUUCGGAGAAAGUGGAAGUAGACUUACAACAAUGGCUUUAGUGGCGGACUGGUGAGUAACGCGUAAGGAACCUGCCUUCCAGAGGGGAAUAACAAUGAGAAAUCAUUGCUAAUACCGCAUAUGCCGAGAGAAUCACAUGGUACAAUCGGG
RNAcentral lists this ribosomal RNA (242 nucleotides) under uncultured bacterium. RNAcentral's name for it is "partial 16S ribosomal RNA". It matches the Rfam family "Bacterial small subunit ribosomal RNA", at positions 15 to 202 of the family's 1533-position model. The record is from RNAcentral.